Molecule: ribosomal RNA, 776 nt
Filed under: Flagellimonas marinaquae
Lineage: Bacteria; Pseudomonadati; Bacteroidota; Flavobacteriia; Flavobacteriales; Flavobacteriaceae
Description: bacterial SSU rRNA
Rfam family: Bacterial small subunit ribosomal RNA
Source: RNAcentral
CCUUUGAUACUGCAGGUCUUGAGUCAUGGUGGGGUUGCCGGAACAUGUGGUGUAGCGGUGAAAUGCAUAGAUAUCACAUAGAACACCGAUCGCGAAGGCAGGUGACCAACCAUGUACUGACGCUGAUGGACGAAAGCGUGGGUAGCGAACGGGAUUAGAUACCCCGGUAGUCCACGCCGUAAACGAUGGAUACUAGCUGUGGGGACUUCGGUCUCCGUGGCCAAGCGAAAGUGAUAAGUAUCCCACCUGGGGAGUACGUUCGCAAGAAUGAAACUCAAAGGAAUUGACGGGGGCCCGCACAAGCGGUGGAGCAUGUGGUUUAAUUCGAUGAUACGCGAGGAACCUUACCAGGGCUUAAAUGCAGGCUGCAUGGGGUAGAGAUACCCCUUUCUUCGGACCGCCUGCAAGGUGCUGCAUGGUUGUCGUCAGCUCGUGCCGUGAGGUGUCAGGUUAAGUCCUAUAACGAGCGCAACCCCUACCGUUAGUUGCCAGCAUGUCAAGAUGGGGACUCUAACGGGACUGCCGGUGCAAACCGUGAGGAAGGUGGGGACGACGUCAAAUCAUCACGGCCCUUACGUCCUGGGCUACACACGUGCUACAAUGGCCGGUACAGAGGGAAGCCACCCCGCAAGGGGGCGCGGAUCUACAAAACCGGUCACAGUUCGGAUCGGGGUCUGCAACUCGACCCCGUGAAGCUGGAAUCGCUAGUAAUCGGAUAUCAGCCAUGAUCCGGUGAAUACGUUCCCGGGCCUUGUACACACCGCCCGUCAAGCCAU